RNAcentral lists this ribosomal RNA (500 nucleotides) under uncultured bacterium. Its description in RNAcentral is "partial 16S ribosomal RNA". It matches the Rfam family "Bacterial small subunit ribosomal RNA", at positions 30 to 523 of the family's 1533-position model. The record is from RNAcentral.
AUUGAACGCUGGCGGCAUGCCUUACACAUGCAAGUCGAACGGCAGCACGGGAGCAAUCCUGGUGGCGAGUGGCGAACGGGUGAGUAAAGUAUCGGAACGUGCCCAGUCGUGGGGGAUAACGUAGCGAAGGUUACGCUAAUACCGCAUACGAUCUAUGGAUGAAAGCGGGGGAUCGCAAGACCUCGCGCGCUUGGAGCGGCCGAUAUCAGAUUAGGUAGUUGGUGGGGUAAAGGCUCACCAAGCCGACGAUCUGUAGCUGGUCUGAGAGGACGACCAGCCACACUGGGACUGAGACACGGCCCAGACUCCUACGGGAGGCAGCAGUGGGGAAUUUUGGACAAUGGGCGAAAGCCUGAUCCAGCCAUGCCGCGUGCAGGACGAAGGCCUUCGGGUUGUAAACUGCUUUUGUACGGAACGAAAAGGUUUGGGCUAAUAAGCUGAGCUCAUGACGGUACCGUAAGAAUAAGCACCGGCUAACUACGUGCCAGCCGCCGCUGUAA